RNAcentral lists this ribosomal RNA (611 nucleotides) under uncultured Dechloromonas sp. RNAcentral describes it as "bacterial SSU rRNA". It matches the Rfam family "Bacterial small subunit ribosomal RNA", at positions 919 to 1529 of the family's 1533-position model. Lineage: Bacteria; Pseudomonadati; Pseudomonadota; Betaproteobacteria; Rhodocyclales; Azonexaceae. The record is from RNAcentral.
ACCCGCACAAGCGGUGGAUGAUGUGGAUUAAUUCGAUGCAACGCGAAAAACCUUACCUACCCCUGACAUGUCCAGAAGCCUGAAGAGAUUUGGGUGUGCCCGAAAGGGAACUGGAACACAGGUGCUGCAUGGCUGUCGUCAGCUCGUGUCGUGAGAUGUUGGGUUAAGUCCCGCAACGAGCGCAACCCUUGUCGUUAAUUGCCAUCAUUCAGUUGGGCACUUUAACGAGACUGCCGGUGACAAACCGGAGGAAGGUGGGGAUGACGUCAAGUCCUCAUGGCCCUUAUGGGUAGGGCUUCACACGUCAUACAAUGGUCGGUACAGAGGGUUGCCAAGCCGCGAGGUGGAGCCAAUCCCAGAAAGCCGAUCGUAGUCCGGAUCGCAGGCUGCAACUCGCCUGCGUGAAGUCGGAAUCGCUAGUAAUCGCGGAUCAGCAUGUCGCGGUGAAUACGUUCCCGGGUCUUGUACACACCGCCCGUCACACCAUGGGAGCGGGUUCCGCCAGAAGUAGGUAGCCUAACCGCAAGGAGGGCGCUUACCACGGCGGGGUUCGUGACUGGGGUGAAGUCGUAACAAGGUAGCCGUAGGGGAACCUGCGGCUGGAUCACCUC